This is a non-coding RNA of Pan troglodytes (chimpanzee), 325 nucleotides long. It matches the Rfam family "7SK RNA". From Rfam's summary of the family: 7SK was discovered as an abundant small nuclear RNA in the mid-70s but a possible function has only recently been suggested. Two independent studies have found that 7SK RNA binds the CDK9/cyclin T complex (known as elongation factor P-TEFb). The record is from Rfam. Lineage: Eukaryota; Metazoa; Chordata; Mammalia; Primates; Hominidae.
GAAUGUGAGGGCCAUCUGGCUGCAACAUCUUUCACCCCAUUGAUCAUCAGGGUUGAUUCGGCUGAUGUGGCUGGCUAGGGGGGUGUCCCCUUCCCCCCUCACCGCUCCGUGUGCGUUGCUCUGGAAGCUGUGUCCUGGGUCUAAGAGGACAACCAUCUCUAGCAGAAGAGGGCGGGUCUUCCCUCAAGAAUAUACGAGUAGCUGUGCUUCCCUGCUAGGACCUCCAAACAAGCUCUCAAGGACAGGCUAUCAAACAAUCCCAUGUGGUAAAAACAAUAAAUAAUGGCUCUCCUGGAACGUUUUCCUUCAAAUUAUGAUUUCAUGG